RNAcentral lists this ribosomal RNA (422 nucleotides) under uncultured bacterium. RNAcentral's name for it is "bacterial SSU rRNA". It matches the Rfam family "Bacterial small subunit ribosomal RNA", at positions 362 to 775 of the family's 1533-position model. The record is from RNAcentral.
UAUUGGACAAUGGGGGCAACCCUGAUCCAGCCAUGCAGCGUGUGUGAAGAAGGGCUUUUGGUUGUAAAGCACUUUAAGCAGGGAGGAGAGGCUAAUGGUUAAUACCCAUUAGUUUAGACGUUACCUGCAGAAUAAGCACCGGCUAACUCUGUGCCAGCAGCCGCGGUAAUACAGAGGGUGCGAGCGUUAAUCGGAGUUACUGGGCGUAAAGCGAGUGUAGGUGGCUCAUUAAGUCACAUGUGAAAUCCCCGAGCUUAACCUGGGGACUGCAUGUGAUACUGGUGGUGCUAGAAUAUGUGAGAGGGAAGUAGAAUUCCAGGUGUAGCGGUGAAAUGCGUAGAGAUCUGGAGGAAUACCGAUGGCGAAGGCAGCUUCCUGGCAUAAUAUUGACACUGAGAUUCGAAAGCGUGGGUAGCAAACAG